UGGUUUUCAAUACAAAUUAAAAGGUUUACUUUAGAGAAGAAAUAAAUUACUUUAAAAAAUUUUCUUUUCUUUUUCUAAAUUACAUAUCUUUUUUAACAUUUGUUUUUUACUAAAUUUUGAGUUCCAAAGCCUCUCUGUUCCUCCCUCCCAUUUACUCUUUGAGAAGUCAAGCAGUUUGAUAAAGAUUAUACAUGUGAAGCCAUCCAAAACAUACUUUCAUAUUAGCUAUUUUGCAAAAGAAAAAAUACCUAGAAGGAAUAAAGAAAAAAGAGUUUAAAAAUCUUCUUUGAUCUGCUGGGAGACUCAAAUGAUUCUUUCAUUGGAGAAGAAUAUCAUUUUUAUCAUAAGUCCUAUAGAAUUGUAUUCAAUCAUUAUAUUGCUCAGAGUAGCUGGCAUUCACAGCUGAUGUCCUUUAUAAUAUUGCUACUAUUGUAUACAAUAUUAUCCUGACUCAUCUCACUUGCUUUUGUUCAUGUAAAACUUCCCAGGUUCUUUUGAAACAGUUCUAUUCAUAAAUUCUCAUAGCACAAUGGUAUCCUAUGACAACCAUAUACCACAACUUGUUUGGUGAUUCACCAGAUGAUGGAUAUCAUUUCAAUUUCCAAUUAUUUGCCAACAGAAAAAAAGCUGUUUUAAAUGUUUGUUAUGCGUAUUAAGAUGAUCCAAAGAAUGGCAUAUGAUUCAGGAAAUUUCACAUCUGCUCUAAAGAAGACAAAAAGCUUUCUAUAGGACAGCUCUACAGGGAUGUCCCCCAAAAUUCCAAACUCAUCUUCAAGAACCAAAGUGGAGAAAAUAAUACCUCUUCAAUUUGAUAGACCUUCAAAUAUUUGAAAGUAGUUAUCAUUUUUCCAUAUCUUUAUUUUCCCAGUUAACAACACCAAUUCUCCAGAUAACAUGAUCUUAAGAGCUGCCAUCAACCUGGUUAUGUUACUCUAAAUGUUAUUAAUUUUACCAGUGUUUUCUCUUGCUACCUAAUUCCUCUCUAUAGUUCAGUGCUUAAUAGUAAACAUGAGACUUCUGAUAUAUUCUGACUA
This 1034-nucleotide long non-coding RNA is filed under the name Monodelphis domestica (gray short-tailed opossum). Its description in RNAcentral is "lncRNA (ENSMODG00000037371.1)". Lineage: Eukaryota; Metazoa; Chordata; Mammalia; Didelphimorphia; Didelphidae. The record is from RNAcentral.